This is a long non-coding RNA of Notothenia coriiceps (black rockcod), 380 nucleotides long. RefSeq lists it as uncharacterized. The record is from RefSeq and is a predicted model, not a curated record. The transcript has 2 exons. Lineage: Eukaryota; Metazoa; Chordata; Actinopteri; Perciformes; Nototheniidae.
UGUGUGUGUGUGUGUGUGUGUGUGGGUGUGUGUGUGUGUGUGUGUGUGUGUGUGUACACAUCAGUCCUAAAAGGGACCAGAUCACAUUUACAGUGUGUAUGUGUUUGUCUUUAUGUAUGUUUCUUGUCAACUGUAUGGCUAUGUCAAUAACUCAAACAUGGAAAAGUACCACUUCAAGCACCUAAGUGUCUCUAUAUAAAUUACCAAUUUACAGUAAUCUGUUUGAAAUGGAAGCAUAAUGAUAAUCUCUAUUUUUGUCUGUAAACCGUCACUGUUUUCUGCGGUGGACUAUAUAAAGUGCUAAGCUAUUUGUGCAUUCAUAUUGUAUUUUUUAAGUUAUCACUGCUGUAACAUAAAUAUGUCAUAUUGAAUGGACUUUU